CAUGCAUGUCUAGUAUAGCAUUAUACCGUGAAACUGCGAAUGGCUCAUUAAAUCAGUUAUCGUUUAUUUGAUAGUACCUUACUACUUGGAUAACCGUGGUAAUUCUAGAGCUAAUACAUGCUAAAAACCCCAACUUCGGGAGGGGUGUAUUUAUUAGAUAAAAAACCAAUGCCCUUCGGGGCUCCUUGGUGAUUCAUGAUAACUUCUCAGAUCGCAUAGCCUUGUGCUGGCGACGGUUCAUUCAAAUUUCUGCCCUAUCAACUUUCGAUGGUAAGGUAGUGGCUUACCAUGGUUUCAACGGGUAACGGGGAAUUAGGGUUCGAUUCCGGAGAGGGAGCCUGAGAAACGGCUACCACAUCCAAGGAAGGCAGCAGGCGCGCAAAUUACCCAAUUCCGAUGCGGAGAGGUAGUGACAAUAAAUACUGAUACAGGGCUCUUUUGGGUCUUGUAAUUGGAAUGAGUACAAUUUAAACCUCUUAACGAGGAACAAUUGGAGGGCAAGUCUGGUGCCAGCAGCCGCGGUAAUUCCAGCUCCAAUAGCGUAUAUUAAAGUUGUUGCAGUUAAAAAGCUCGUAGUUGAACCUUUGGCCUGGCUGGCAGGUCCGCCUCACCGCGUGCACUUGUCCGGCCGGGCCUUUUCUUCUGGAGAACCGCAUGCCCUUCACUGGGUGUGUUGGGGACCAGGACUUUUACUUUGAAAAAAUUAGAGUGUUCAAAGCAGGCCUUUGCUCGAAUACGUUAGCAUGGAAUAAUAGAAUAGGACGUGCGGUCCUAUUUUGUUGGUUUCUAGGACCGCCGUAAUGAUUAAUAGGGACAGUCGGGGGCAUCAGUAUUCAAUUGUCAGAGGUGAAAUUCUUGGAUUUAUUGAAGACUAACUACUGCGAAAGCAUUUGCCAAGGAUGUUUUCAUUAAUCAGUGAACGAAAGUUAGGGGAUCGAAGACGAUCAGAUACCGUCGUAGUCUUAACCAUAAACUAUGCCGACUAGGGAUCGGGCGGUGUUUCUAUUGUGACCCGCUCGGCACCUUACGAGAAAUCAAAGUGUUUGGGUUCUGGGGGGAGUAUGGU
Molecule: ribosomal RNA, 1066 nt
Filed under: Kalmusia italica
Lineage: Eukaryota; Fungi; Ascomycota; Dothideomycetes; Pleosporales; Didymosphaeriaceae
Description: SSU rRNA
Rfam family: Eukaryotic small subunit ribosomal RNA
Source: RNAcentral